This 461-nucleotide ribosomal RNA is filed under the name uncultured soil bacterium. RNAcentral describes it as "bacterial SSU rRNA". It matches the Rfam family "Bacterial small subunit ribosomal RNA", at positions 26 to 470 of the family's 1533-position model. The record is from RNAcentral.
AGGACGAACGCUGGCGGCGUACUUAACGCAUGCAAGUCGAACGAGCUCCAUCCACUAGCAAUAGUGGUGAAGAGCUAGUGGCGAACGGGUGCGUAACACGUGAGCAACCUGCCCCGAAGACCGGGAUAACAGCGGGAAACCGCUGCUAAUACCGGAUACCCCCAGACCCCCGCAUGAGGGACUGAGGAAAUGGAUUUCCGCGUUCGGGAGGGGCUCGCGGCCUAUCAGCUUGUUGGUGAGGUAACGGCUCACCAAGGCUCCGACGGGUAGCUGUCUGAGAGGACGAUCAGCCACACUGGACUGAGACACGGCCCAGACUCCUACGGGAGGCAGCAGGCGGGGAAUCGUUGCGCAAGUGGGACGAAAGCCGUGACGCAGUAACGCCGGCGGUGGGGAUGAAGUGCCGUUCGGUUACGUAAACCCCUUUCAGACGAGGAACGAAAUUGACGUACCUGCAAGAA